This 500-nucleotide long non-coding RNA is filed under the name Sus scrofa (pig). RNAcentral describes it as "lncRNA (ENSSSCG00045026814.1)". Lineage: Eukaryota; Metazoa; Chordata; Mammalia; Artiodactyla; Suidae. The record is from RNAcentral.
GAAAUGCCCAUUGAGGCAGCCCCUGGACUUCACUUUGAUAGAAUGGCGUGUGGGGAAUAUCAGGAAAGAUGGAAUUAGCAGCAGCUCAGAGGAGCAGAGCAGCCUGGCAAGAGAGAGACAAAAAAGACCACUGCGUUUGGCUCCUCCGGCAACUGUACCCAACCUGGGACCUCCCAGCUGCUCCCAAGGAGGAAAGACAGCCCGCAGACUCAGUGAACUCUGGACACAGCUGUGCUGGAGAUUUUCACGUUGCUGUCGGACCAGGAGCUUGCAGGAGGCAGUUCCGGAGUGCAGAUGGCCUCAACUGGGAGAGGGAGAGGGAUCCUGCCACGUGGGGCACGGAAACGAGCCUCGGGUUCUUUAUUUCUGAAAGAGUCAAGGUGACAUCUACAGAGAGUUCCCGCUUCCUUCUCACAGAGAAGGCCGGUGGUGACGCCUGGCGGUGGAGAGAAGAACAGCCGCGACUUCUGCUGCAGGAACUUCUAUCAAGAAGCUCGUAG